GGAUCCAGACUUUGAUCCUGGCUCAGGAUGAACGCUAGCUACAGGCUUAACACAUGCAAGUCGAGGGGAAACGACAUCGAAAGCUUGCUUUUGAUGGGCGUCGACCGGCGCACGGGUGAGUAACGCGUAUCCAACCUGCCCAUCACUUGGGAAUAACCUUGCGAAAGUAAGACUAAUACCCAAUGACAUCCCACGAAGGCAUCCGAAUGGGAUUAAAGAUUUAUCGGUGAUGGAUGGGGAUGCGUCUGAUUAGCUUGUUGGCGGGGUAACGGCCCACCAAGGCAACGAUCAGUAGGGGUUCUGAGAGGAAGGUCCCCCACAUUGGAACUGAGACACGGUCCAAACUCCUACGGGAGGCAGCAGUGAGGAAUAUUGGUCAAUGGGCGAGAGCCUGAACCAGCCAAGUAGCGUGCAGGAAGACGGCCCUAUGGGUUGUAAACUGCUUUUAUAAGGGAAUAAAGUGAGUCUCGUGAGACUUUUUGCAUGUACCUUAUGAAUAAGGACCGGCUAAUUCCGUGCCAGCAGCCGCGGUAAUACGGAAGGUCCGGGCGUUAUCCGGAUUUAUUGGGUUUAAAGGGAGCGUAGGCCGGAGAUUAAGCGUGUUGUGAAAUGUAGUGGCUCAACCUCUGCACUGCAGCGCGAACUGGUCUUCUUGAGUACGCACAACGUGGGCGGAAUUCGUGGUGUAGCGGUGAAAUGCUUAGAUAUCACGAAGAACUCCGAUUGCGAAGGCAGCUCACGGGAGCGCAACUGACGCUGAAGCUCGAAAGUGCGGGUAUCGAACAGGAUUAGAUACCCUAGUAGUCCGCACGGUAAACGAUGGAUGCCCGCUGUUGGCCUGAAUAGGUCAGCGGCCAAGCGAAAGCAUUAAGCAUCCCACCUGGGGAGUACGCCGGCAACGGUGCAACU
RNAcentral lists this ribosomal RNA (909 nucleotides) under uncultured Bacteroidota bacterium. RNAcentral describes it as "bacterial SSU rRNA". It matches the Rfam family "Bacterial small subunit ribosomal RNA", at positions 1 to 901 of the family's 1533-position model. Lineage: Bacteria; Pseudomonadati; Bacteroidota. The record is from RNAcentral.